RNAcentral lists this unclassified non-coding RNA (951 nucleotides) under Hevea brasiliensis (rubber tree). The record is from RNAcentral. Lineage: Eukaryota; Viridiplantae; Streptophyta; Magnoliopsida; Malpighiales; Euphorbiaceae.
GUGAAUUUGUUGGUCAUACAGGGCCAAAGACAAGGAGAAAGAUCCAAGAAGCUGAAGGGGGGAUUCUUUUUGUUGAUGAAGCCUAUCGAUUAAUACCUAUGCAGAAGUCGGAUGACAAGGACUAUGGUUUGGAAGCACUAGAAGAGAUAAUGUCUGUUAUGGACAGCGGGAAAAUUGUAGUAAUUUUUGCAGGUUACAGUGAACCAAUGAAGCGUGUUAUCACUUCUAAUGAAGGUUUCUGUAGAAGAGUAACAAAGUUUUUCCAUUUUGACAACUUCAGCUCUGAAGACCUUGCCACAAUUCUUCAUCUUAAAAUGACCAAUCAAGCUGAUUGUAGUUUGCUCUACGGAUUCAAGUUGCAUCCUUCAUGCAGCGUUGAUGCUGUUGCUGCACUUAUCAAGGAAGAAACCACUGAAAAACAGCGCAAGGAGAUGAAUGGAGGUCUGGUCGAUCCAUUGCUAGUUAACGCAAGAGAGAAUUUGGACCUGAGACUCAGUUUUGACUGUAUAGACUCAGACGAACUACUAACGAUUACUCCAGAGGAUUUAAAAGCUGGCCUUCAAUUGUUAUCACAAACAAGAGUAGCUUAGUCCUCCUGACUUCUCUCCGAACCAAAUGGAGUGUGGAACAACGAGUUGCCACAGAAGUUAUAUGUUAUAAUUCGGGAAGAAAGUUAUAGAGAUUCUCAUAUAUCCGACCUUGGAACGGAUAUUAGCUAGAGGUAGAUUAUUGCAGGCUUGCAGGUCUGUCUGUUCUCCAUGGAUUAUUUCCUCAUGAAUUUCUCUCUUAUUUUUUCACAUAUUGCAACCUUUGUAUUAGUUAGUUCAUUGCAUUCAUUCUUGCAAUUUUACAUAUCUAUUUAAAUUAUUUCUUAUACUUGGGAUAUUCUUCAUGUUGUUUGUUAUAGGUUGGAUGAAAAUUGUUGUAUUGAACUGCUACAGAAAAAUUGUU